AAUCCCAAUGAUGAAUGUAUUUGCAAAUUUAAAAGUAGUGGACUGACGUCCUUUGAUGAAUAAUUAAUUCAGAGGGAUA
Molecule: small nucleolar RNA, 79 nt
Organism: Malania oleifera
Lineage: Eukaryota; Viridiplantae; Streptophyta; Magnoliopsida; Santalales; Ximeniaceae
Product: small nucleolar RNA R21
Exons: 1
Source: RefSeq, a predicted model, not a curated record